This 1004-nucleotide ribosomal RNA is filed under the name Escherichia coli. RNAcentral's name for it is "partial 23S ribosomal RNA". It matches the Rfam family "Bacterial large subunit ribosomal RNA", at positions 165 to 1209 of the family's 2925-position model. Lineage: Bacteria; Pseudomonadati; Pseudomonadota; Gammaproteobacteria; Enterobacterales; Enterobacteriaceae. The record is from RNAcentral.
CAUAGGUUAAUGAGGCGAACCGGGGGAACUGAAACAUCUAAGUACCCCGAGGAAAAGAAAUCAACCGAGAUUCCCCCAGUAGCGGCGAGCGAACGGGGAGCAGCCCAGAGCCUGAAUCAGUAUGUGUGUUAGUGGAAGCGUCUGGAAAGGCGCGCGAUACAGGGUGACAGCCCCGUACACAAAAAUGCACAUGCUGUGAGCUCGAUGAGUAGGGCGGGACACGUGGUAUCCUGUCUGAAUAUGGGGGGACCAUCCUCCAAGGCUAAAUACUCCUGACUGACCGAUAGUGAACCAGUACCGUGAGGGAAAGGCGAAAAGAACCCCGGCGAGGGGAGUGAAAAAGAACCUGAAACCGUGUACGUACAAGCAGUGGGAGCACGCUUAGGCGUGUGACUGCGUACCUUUUGUAUAAUGGGUCAGCGACUUAUAUUCUGUAGCAAGGUUAACCGAAUAGGGGAGCCGAAGGGAAACCGAGUCUUAACUGGGCGUUAAGUUGCAGGGUAUAGACCCGAAACCCGGUGAUCUAGCCAUGGGCAGGUUGAAGGUUGGGUAACACUAACUGGAGGACCGAACCGACUAAUGUUGAAAAAUUAGCGGAUGACUUGUGGCUGGGGGUGAAAGGCCAAUCAAACCGGGAGAUAGCUGGUUCUCCCCGAAAGCUAUUUAGGUAGCGCCUCGUGAAUUCAUCUCCGGGGGUAGAGCACUGUUUCGGCAAGGGGGUCAUCCCGACUUACCAACCCGAUGCAAACUGCGAAUACCGGAGAAUGUUAUCACGGGAGACACACGGCGGGUGCUAACGUCCGUCGUGAAGAGGGAAACAACCCAGACCGCCAGCUAAGGUCCCAAAGUCAUGGUUAAGUGGGAAACGAUGUGGGAAGGCCCAGACAGCCAGGAUGUUGGCUUAGAAGCAGCCAUCAUUUAAAGAAAGCGUAAUAGCUCACUGGUCGAGUCGGCCUGCGCGGAAGAUGUAACGGGGCUAAACCAUGCACCGAAGCUGCGGCAGC